RNAcentral lists this ribosomal RNA (484 nucleotides) under uncultured bacterium. Its description in RNAcentral is "partial 16S ribosomal RNA". It matches the Rfam family "Bacterial small subunit ribosomal RNA", at positions 28 to 523 of the family's 1533-position model. The record is from RNAcentral.
GACGAACGCUGGCGGCGUGCUUAACACAUGCAAGUCGAACGAUGAAGCUGGAGCUUGCUCCGGUGGAUUAGUGGCGAACGGGUGAGUAACACGUGAGAAAUCUGCCCUUCACUCUGGGAUAACUGCGGGAAACUGUAGCUAAUACCGGAUACUUUCCCUGGUGGGCAUCCACUAGGGAAGAAAGAAUUUCGGUGAAGGAUGAUCUCGCGGCCUAUCAGCUAGUUGGUGAGGUAAUGGCUCACCAAGGCGACGACGGGUAGCCGGCCUGAGAGGGUGACCGGCCACACUGGGACUGAGACACGGCCCAGACUCCUACGGGAGGCAGCAGUGGGGAAUAUUGCACAAUGGGCGAAAGCCUGAUGCAGCAACGCCGCGUGAGGGAUGAAGGCCUUCGGGUUGUAAACCUCUUUUAGCAGGGAAGAAGCGAAAGUGACGGUACCUGCAGAAAAAGCACCGGCUAACUACGUGCCAGCAGCCGCCGCGG